Long non-coding RNA from Anolis carolinensis (green anole), 825 nucleotides. RefSeq lists it as uncharacterized. The record is from RefSeq and is a predicted model, not a curated record. Lineage: Eukaryota; Metazoa; Chordata; Lepidosauria; Squamata; Anolidae. The transcript is spliced from 4 exons.
UUGGGAGUGACUGCUGAUGCUCCUUCUCAUCACAAGAAAGGAAAAGAAAGGUGGAAGUGAUUUAGACCAUAAAGCUCAUGGGGGAAGUAAAUGUGGGUGCUUCUUUUUUCCUCUCACCACCAGAAUUGUGACUAGCUGCUUCUGUAUGAUCCAAAUCACCUCCCUCCCUUUCCUUUUCCCCAGAAGUAAACAACAGUGGCAGGAGGAUCCAGAGCUGCAUAAACAUGCUGUGUGGCCAUGUUCCAGAAGUAUUCUCUCCUGACGUUUCGCCCACAUCUAUGGCAGGCAUCCUCACAGGGUCCACUUGACCAGGAACCACUUUGAACAGGGAACACUUUGACCAGAGACCACUUGACCGUGGACCACUUGAUCACUGCCCACAGUUGGUCAGGAUGUACUGAAUUCUACAAUGAAAAAUGAGCCCAAUUGUAAAGGUAAGUGAAGUCUCAUUAUUGCAAGUGAUAGUGACACACUCCAUAAAUAAAUAGCUGAACUUUUAUAUUUACAAAUGAAAAACGUCCAUAUAAUUGUGUAUGAUGGUGGCUAAUUUUAGUCAGUUAUCUUUAUCAAAUCUGUUUUACUUCUUUAGUCUGAAUCAGAGACCAUUCAUUUAUGAGAUAUGAUUUUUCCCCUCCUUAGCCUGCAUAAUACAAUUUAUUUAUGAGAUCUGACUUGAUAGAAGGACAAUGUGUAGUACAGAAUGCAAGGGUGACAGGUCCCUCAAUCUUCCCUGUCACAUUCUUUAUACAUGAUUUGGUCAAGGCUACAGAACUAUAAUGUCUUAUCUAUAAUAUGAUAGAAAAAACUGAACUGUGUUCAGCUGUG